GACAGAGGUGCCGAGCGUUAGGCGGAAUCACUGGGCUUAAAGCGUGUGUAGGCGGAGUUCUAAGUACCUUGUGAAAUCCCACGGCUUAACCGUGGAACUGCUUGGUAUACUGGUUCUCUUGGGCCAUCUAGGGGCUACUGGAACAAACGGUGGAGCGGUGAAAUGCGUAGAUAUCAGGAAGAACACCUAUGGCGAAGGCAGCUCUCUGGGACGGUACUGACGCUGAGACGCGAAAGCGUGGGGAGCGAACAGG
This 253-nucleotide ribosomal RNA is filed under the name uncultured bacterium. RNAcentral describes it as "partial 16S ribosomal RNA". It matches the Rfam family "Bacterial small subunit ribosomal RNA", at positions 524 to 776 of the family's 1533-position model. The record is from RNAcentral.